Molecule: ribosomal RNA, 253 nt
Filed under: uncultured bacterium
Lineage: Bacteria
Description: partial 16S ribosomal RNA
Rfam family: Bacterial small subunit ribosomal RNA
Source: RNAcentral
CACGUAGGGGGCAAGCGUUGUCCGGAUUUAUUGGGCGUAAAGAGCGUGUAGGCGGCUAUACAGGUCCGCUGUGAAAACUCGAGGCUCAACCUCGAGACGUCGGUGGAAACCGUAUGGCUAGAGUCCGGAAGAGGAGAGUGGAAUUCCUGGUGUAGCGGUGAAAUGCGCAGAUAUCAGGAAGAACACCCGUGGCGAAGGCGGCUCUCUGGGACGGUACUGACGCUGAGACGCGAAAGCGUGGGGAGCGAACAGG